This 700-nucleotide ribosomal RNA is filed under the name uncultured bacterium. Its description in RNAcentral is "bacterial SSU rRNA". It matches the Rfam family "Bacterial small subunit ribosomal RNA", at positions 94 to 812 of the family's 1533-position model. The record is from RNAcentral.
AGUGGCGGACGGGUGAGUAACACGUAGGUAACCUACCCUUAGGCGGGGGACAACUCAGGGAAACUUGAGCUAAUACCGCAUACAUCCACGGGCUGGGAUGCUUGUGGGGAAAGUGGCGACACACCUAAGGAUGGGCCUGCGGCCUAUCAGGUAGUUGGUGGGGUAAGAGCCCACCAAGCCGAAGACGGGUAGCCGGGCUGAGAGGUUGAACGGCCACACUGGAACUGAGACACGGUCCAGACUCCUACGGGAGGCAGCAGUGGGGAAUCUUGCGCAAUGGGGGAAACCCUGACGCAGCGACGCCGCGUGGAGGGUGUAGGUCUUCGGGUUGUAAACUCCUUUUCUUGGGGAAAAUGAUGAUGGUACUCAAGGAAUAAGCCACGGCUAACUCUGUGCCAGCAGCCGCGGUAAGACAGAGGUGGCGAGCGUUGUUCGGAAUUACUGGGCUUAAAGGGCGAGUAGGCGGUAGGGCAAGUCUGAGGUGGAAUCCUAUGGCUUAACCAUAGAACUGCCUUAGAAACUGCUUUACUUGAGUCAGUGAGGGGAGGGCGGAAUUCCUGGUGUAGUGGUGAAAUGCGUAGAUAUCAGGAGGAAGGCCUGUGGCGAAAGCGGCCCUCUGGCACUGUACUGACGCUGAGGCGCGAAAGCGUGGGGAGCAAACAGGAUUAGAUACCCUGGUAGUCCACGCCCUAAACGGUGG